GUGAGGGUGGUUCAGUGGUAAAACUCUCGCCUUCCAUGCAGGAGGCCGGGGUUCGAUUCCUGGCCACCGUA
This 71-nucleotide transfer RNA is filed under the name Loxodonta africana (African savanna elephant). It matches the Rfam family "tRNA". Rfam says of the family: Transfer RNA (tRNA) molecules are approximately 80 nucleotides in length. Their secondary structure includes four short double-helical elements and three loops (D, anti-codon, and T loops). The record is from Rfam by way of RNAcentral. Lineage: Eukaryota; Metazoa; Chordata; Mammalia; Proboscidea; Elephantidae.